AGAGAUCUGCCCCAUCAGGCAGCGGAGGCAGGCGGCAGCUCGGCAGCCCCGAGGGAGGGAGAGAACCCCCGCAUCUGGGCCUGGGCAGGGGUAUUCUCUUCUCACAGAUGCCACACCCCAGGAGCCACCUCCAUUUUGCGGGACUGCUGUUUCCCUCCCCCAGUGGCCUGCAGAAGAUUCGAUCCGUAUAGAAAUCCUCGGACCUGGGACACAGGAGACCGGGAAUUUGAUGAAAGGUAAACGAUUUAUGCAAUAUGGAGAGAAAUCAAAGCCUGCGGAAUUUAGAAGGCUGCAAAAGAACAAGGCGAGCCCCGAUUGGUGGCAAACCUGAAUUCCAGCCCAGACCCAGCUACCGGAUGACUUCGGACAAAUCACCUCACCUCUCUGAGCCUCAGAUUAUUUAUCUGCAAAAGCAGAGGUUACAGAAGAAAUGGCGAGAAAAGGCCAGAGAGGCAUAGGGACCGUCCUGCCACACCGCAGGCAGAUGAUCAACAAUGGGCAACUGCCUUUUACUUUGACGACGGUGAACCUGGGCUAGCGCUUGACUCUCCUGGGCCUACAGGAAGAUUACUGCUCUCCCCAAGGCAUGAGAGAGUCAUGGGAUGGUACACCUGUUUGCCAUGGAGGGCACGGAGUCCUCUGAAGAAGGAACAGCUAAGGGGGAAUCUGAAUCAAGGGAAUGGACAGACACGUGAAGGGAUGGGGACUGGACCUGGAAAGAGAGAGAACUGGGAAGUUCAAAGGCCCUGGGGUAGAAGGGAACGCAGUAAGUUUGACCAUUGAAGAGGGGAGAACAGAGGGGUGGCAAGGAAGAUCUACAAGGAAACAAAGAGGUGGGUCACCUUCAAAGGGUGGGAGACACCAAGGUAAAGACCAGGUUUGCCCUGUGUUAUGGUUUGGAUAUAAAGAACCUCUUUAUC
Molecule: long non-coding RNA, 920 nt
Filed under: Mus musculus (house mouse)
Lineage: Eukaryota; Metazoa; Chordata; Mammalia; Rodentia; Muridae
Description: long non-coding RNA chr4:124639917-124640837
Source: RNAcentral